GGGAGCAAAGUGCCGCACGUGUGCGGUUUGGAGAGUACCCGGAGAAAAAGCAUCGGCUAACUCCGUGCCAGCAGCCGCGGUAAUACGGAGGAUGCGAGCGUUAUCCGGAUUUAUUGGGUUUAAAGGGUGCGUAGGCGGACGCUUAAGUCAGCGGUAAAAUUGCGGGGCUCAACCUCGUCGAGCCGUUGAAACUGGGUGCCUUGAGUGGGCGAGAAGUACGCGGAAUGCGUGGUGUAGCGGUGAAAUGCAUAGAUAUCACGCAGAACUCCGAUUGCGAAGGCAGCGUACCGGCGCCCAACUGACGCUGAAGCACGAAGGCGUGGGUAUCGAACAGGAUUAGAUACCCUGGUAGUCCACGCAGUAAACGAUGAAUGCUAGUUGUCCGGGGCGAUUGAGUUCUG
Molecule: ribosomal RNA, 401 nt
Filed under: uncultured bacterium
Lineage: Bacteria
Description: bacterial SSU rRNA
Rfam family: Bacterial small subunit ribosomal RNA
Source: RNAcentral